CAGGUCAUACUAGACCAUCCAGGUUGUAAACCGCAGCUUGGAUCAUCGGCGAGCACCGACAAUCCCUUUGACUUCAGCAACGUUGAUAUGAGACUGCCGAUGCUUGUCUACAUAUCCCGGGAGAAGGGGCCUGGUUAUGACAACCAAAAGAAGGCAGGCGCCAUGAACGCGAUGCUCCGUGUCUCGGCGUUGCUCUCCAACGCGCCCUUCAUCAUUAAUUUCGACUGCGACCACUACAUCAACAACUCGCAAGCUCUGCGUGCCCCUCUGUGCUUCAUGCUCGACCCUCGUGACGGUCAGAACACGGCCUUCGUCCAAUUCCCGCAACGGUUCGACGACGUCGACCCGACAGAUCGCUACGCCAACCACAACCGUGUCUUCUUCGACGGCACCAUGCUCGCGCUCAACGGUCUCCAAGGGCCUUCCUACCUUGGCACUGGCACGAUGUUCCGCCGUGUCACACUGUACGGCAUGGAGCCGCCACGUUAUCGGACGGAGAACAUUAAGCUUGUAGGUAAUGCAGAUGAGUUCGGUAAGUCGACGUCGUUCACGAAAUCGAUGCUGGAUGGCGCAAUCCAAGAGCGAUCUAUCACCCCGGUGUUGGUCGAUGAGGGGCUGAGCAAUGACCUGGCCGCCCUGAUCAUGUGCUCUUACGAGGACGGGAGUUCAUGGGGGAGAGACAUCGGAUGGGUGUACAACAUUGCGACGGAGGACGUGGUGACUGGAUUCCGCAUUCACCGCCAAGGGUGGCGUUCCGUGUAUUGCUCCAUGGAGCCGGCCGCGUUCCGUGGGACGGCUCCGAUCAACCUCACUGAGCGCCUCUACCAGGUUCUCCGGUGGUCCGGCGGCUCCCUCGAGGUGUUCUUCUCCCACAACAAUGCCCUCAUGGCUGGCCGCCGGCUCCACCCUCUGCAACGCAUCGCGUACUUCAACAUGUCGACGUACCCGAUCGUCACCGUGUUCAUCCUGGCCUACAACUUCUUCCCGGUCAUGUGGCUCUUCUCCGAGCAGUUGUACAUCCAGAGGCCGUUUGGAACGUACAUCGCGUACCUCAUCGCCGUCAUAGCGAUGAUGCAUGUGAUUGGCAUGUUCGAGGUUAAAUGGGAGGGGAUCACCCUGCUCGACUGGUGCCGCAACGAGCAGUUCUACUUGAUCGCGGCGACCGGCGUGUACCCGACAGCCGUGCUGUACAUGGCGUUGAAGCUCGUCACGGGUAAGGGGGUGCACUUCAGGCUCACAUCCAAGCAGACGGAGGCCUGCUCCCGUGACAAGUUCGCCGACCUGUACACCGUGCGAUGGGUGCCGCUGCUUAUCCCGACCGCCGCAGUGCUCGUCGUGAACGUCGCGGCCGUCGGGGCGGCGAUCGGCAAGGCGGCGACAUGGGGUUUUUCUACGGACCAGGCGCGGCACGUGCUGCUCGGGAUGGUGUUCAACGUGGGGAGCCUCGUGCUCCUCUACCCGUUUGCACUCGGCAUCAUGGGGCAACGGGGGAAGAGACCCGUCAUCCUAUUCGUCCUGCUGCUCAUGGCCAUUGCCGCCGUCGGGCUCUUGUAUGUCACGCUCUACGCCCCGUACCCACAAGAAACUGCCGUUUCUCUCUUGGUAAAGCAUCUCUGA
RNAcentral lists this ribosomal RNA (1617 nucleotides) under Triticum aestivum (bread wheat). RNAcentral's name for it is "partial small subunit ribosomal RNA". The record is from RNAcentral. Lineage: Eukaryota; Viridiplantae; Streptophyta; Magnoliopsida; Poales; Poaceae.